CCUAUCCACCUAACAUGGUAGUGGAAGUAGCAAUGUAAGCAACAUAACAAAUGGACCAGCCAUAAAGGUAAUUCCAGCCAUUUGUCCCAGCAGUGAACGUACCUUAAAAGCAUCAGAGAGUAAUAACCGUUGUGCCGGUAAGUUUACGUCAUGAUGUUUAUUUACGUUCGAAAUCAUUAUUAAUUUCAUUACCAGAGCACAUCCAUCUUUAGGAAGAGUUGAGUUCGUCGAACUUCACUAAUAGCAAAUGUUAAAUAUAGAAAUGAGACUAAAGUAGGAACACGAUAGUCUAUCAUUUCGUCAAAUAUAUGCCAUCGUCCAUGUUAAAUUUAUGCCUAGUUCAUCAACCGCGAAGGAACGACUCCGAAGAGUCACUAGAGAAUUUUAACAUAUCUCGUGGCUGGAUAUACAUAUAUAUAAAUCCAGAUAUCUAUCUGUAUGCAAAUAAAAUAUUUACCGCAUCGCCAAACAACUGUAUAUCUACGUGACGUUCUCGCAAAUAUUUUUCAAAUUUUUUUACUAUCUUUGGUCAGAUAUUAUGGUAUGGUAUGGUUAGGCCAGGUAAGGUUUUAUUUCCUUGGGUUACAAAGUCAUUAAAUUCUCUCGACGGGCGCAUUGAAUCUGCUUAUUUAAGAGCAAACCACUCGGUGGCGCUACUUCAAAAUAAUCUGCGAAUUAAACCUUGAGCAUUGCAAGCAGCGUGCGUAAGCACACGUGCUAUUCUUUCGCGUACAUUACCCAUCAGCCAUGCACUUCGUUUCCGUUUGCGAGAGCGCGUCUUUCGAAAUGCCGAGGUGCAUGCCGGGAUGUCGAAGGAUAAACAGUAUAGGAAUUUAGAUUGGUUCUCCUCGCUUCGCUGUGAAUGGAAUUCGUUAAGCGGAUCAAAUGUUUGCGGCAGGGAUACGAAAAUCGUAUAUUUCCGUAUAAAUUAGAGAGAAAAAAAAAAAAAGAAAAAAAAUUCAAAGCAUCCAUUUCACUUAGCAGCUAAGCUACGUGGAAAUUGUAGGUUACGUAUCACCGGUAUGUAAACACCAUAUAAGGUGAAAUCGGUAAACCACCUGUUUUUGUAGGUUACGUGGUUACGUCCAAUAAAGAUAUACACAGGUCUAUACACAUGCAUAUUCCGAGACACUGAACGAACUUCGCGUACCUGUAACAAAGAUUACUCCGUACAAAAGAAACGUAAGCAGAAGAGUGUUUCGGUUCAAACGAAAAACCCAUAUCCGCUACGUGAAUGCCGGAGGUUGAAAUAUUUAUCUUCUAUUUGCCGAAUCUCGGAAUCUCUCGGAAGCCGUUACGUAACGGGUGGCCUUUAAAACGUGCUACAGUUACAUCGCGAAAAGCGAGCACGUAGUCAGGACGGAAGACAGGGAGUUAGGGGAGUUCUGAAAUAAAAUUUUAGCAACAGAGGAGCACACGAAGCUUACGAAUUAAUUCAACGUAUCCGGAAACGUCUUGGUACACGGAAUAUCGCACGAGUCACGGAGGAUCUACGCGAAUUUUACGACGCGCUGCUCCCCCGACUUGCGGAAUGUCAAAUAGUCUCGCUGAGCGAAAUAAGUCGCGGCGCAGCUCGUUAACGAUGAAAACAAAAACUUGGCAAAUCCCACGCCCCGUAGCCUUCGCGUACCGCUAUGGAAUUCGUCUUCGAUCACGAUUGCUUGCAAAAGGGAUAGUCGCGAGGUAAACGUUUCUACCGUGGACAAGGUAUAUACUGACAGCUGGCAAUCAGCUAUUAAAAUUCGAACGAGUAUUUCACAGAUAUGCGUAUCGCAGGUAAUAAUAAUAAUAUUACGUAAGUACGUCCCGGAAACGGUUUUCUUGACAGAUUUUCAUAUUUGUCUCAUUACCAUUGUUAUGAUGCUCGGGAUUAAUAAUUCCAUAGCUCAGACUAGUAUUAACCAGUCACAUAGCAGACGGAUCCUGCAUUUGAUUAAUCUUCUCUGUAUAUAAUUAAUCUUUAAUUAAUUCACGCCAGUCGGCUAGUUCGAUUCUGCCGGCAUAGCGGAACUUGGUCUUAGGGAAAAAAGCUACGGGCAGCAAUGCGGGGACGCGUGUCACGAAGAAAGGCUGCGUCGUUUUGAAAAGUCGAGGAAAACAGGAGGGAAAAACAUCAGUGGCCGAGACCACGUGAUAUUUCGACGCUCGGGGCUCGCAUCGAUCGUGGUAACUGGAGCACGUUACAUUAUUCUGCAAUAUGUAUACGUCAUCGUGACGUAUGUGCAGUCGUAGUGGGAUAUAGGAGAAUUACGAAAAAUCUUGAAUUUUCAAACUAGACUCCCGUUAUGUGCGUGCUCGGUAAGUGGUCGCUUCCCCUCCGAUCGCUCGCUUAUCUCGUAUCGCCAAGCCAUAGGGAUUUUCCCCACUGUCACCUAUUCGGCAUAUCGUUGCACAAUAAUUGUGGAAGGACUGCAUGUGUGGAAACAAGUAAGGACAAUGAAUUCCUCAUGUACGGAUAAAAUCGCCUCAAAUUGCAAAUCAAUGUUGAGCGUUAGGACGCAAAAAGAUUAUUGACGAUACUUACUAUAACGUUAAUCGAACGUAACGUGAGGCCUCUAGAACCGAUAUGACGAUCGGCGUGUGCAUUCGAUUAUCGCGCCUGCUGACAGCUCAUUGUUUUAAUGCGCAUCAGCCAUGACUGCAAGUACCGUAAACAAAGUGUUGAUAUGGACUUCCGAGUGCCAAAAGGCAAUUUUCAUAUAAAUACGUAUGAUAAUAUUUGUCGUUAAGUUACGCAACUACGAUAACGUGUCGAAGAUGGUAAUCGUGUAAUUAUAAAUUUUUAAGUAAACAGAGCAACGGUAUUAUUCAUUAAAACGAGGAUUUUUUACGAAUUUCACGGUAGAAAGAUUUCCUAUGAAACUGCAAUCGAGUUCUCACUGACCUGUCGCGAGCGACAAAGUAUUAAUCGAUUGUCGAUCGCUCGUGUACGUUUAUGAGUAAGUUCCCAUAUUUUUCCGAAAAUUUUAAAACAGAGUUUUAUGCUUUCAAAAAAUAAGGUAUGCGUUAAUCGUCAUGCGCGUGGACUACGGAGACGAAAAUAAGUAAAUUAGUAAGAGGGUCUUGUUAUUUUCUGCCAAUUGCACGAACUCAUUAUAAGCCGUUUAAUGCUUCAAUUUCAGAUUCAUCCACGAAUUUCUGUUAGAAAGUAAUUUUUUAAGUUCAAAGACCUCGUUCGGAUCGAAGACAGCAGAUAGUAGGCUCGAUACGUUCCCCUUGGACUUAUUUAUGACGUCUUCGGUUGGAUACUCCUUAGUGGUUGCUUUUUGUUUCAAUAAAGUCCAAAUAGCCCACUAAUUCAUCCGCUGGUUAUCUACCCCACCAUACUUACGUACACGUGUCUAAUGUUACAUUCAAAUUCACAAAGAAGAAAGUCACACCAGUGAUCUAAUAGUCGUGAAAAUAGUGCUAAUACGUACGACGCGUGUCCCCGUCGACUUAAGUACACAGAGGAUGGCCCCGAAGGAAAAAAAAAGUCAUCUGUGAUUUUACGCAAACAGUCUACUGGGAUAGCAGGAUAUUAGCCCGUUACGUCGAUCUACGUGACGUCUCUAUACGACCCGGACGAAUACCGGAGAGAAUCAGUAUUUCUGUAUUUUUCAUGUAAGACUGUAUAGUAACGUAUAAACAAUGACGCGACCGAUUGUCCAAAAGUUCCACUGUUUAUCCUCAGCCUUGUAUAACUAUGCAUAUCAUUUUUCAUUUCAAUAAAUUGUACAUAGAAUAAAGAGGCAUUGCCAUGUAUUGUGCGUUGGCAUUGGUCGAUCUCUCGUAAUCGAUUAGAUAAUAGCGAAUUAUUUAGAUGCGAAACGGAACGCAGUACACGUACGCUCGUAUGCCGAAGGUGAUUUACGCAAUAUGGCUACGGCCAUUCUCGGAUAACUCAUUAUCCUUCACGAGUUAAUGCACUGUUGUGAUACGUCACUUUAUGCAAUCGCAACUUCCCCGCCUCUCGUCAGCUUCUACUCAGCCCCGUGAAGUUGGCCACGAUCGACGCUCCGAGUGAUGCUCGCGCGGGAUUCUGGGAACGAGCGGAAAGACAUUAGACUAAUACUUGGAUUUUGCUACGUCCGGAAUACACAUCUCGGGAAGUCGGCGAAACGUUCUUGGAUCAGAUCCAAAACGUGAUUGUAAGAAGCGAAAGCACUAUGGUAGUCGAACAAAAAAAUGUGUUUCCACAAACAACAAUAUGAUUCACUUGUUCAGAGAAAAUUCUUCGAGUCACGUAACUUUACCGUGCUUGUGUUUACCGUUGCAAGAUAUACCCUUAGGCAGCAGCCCCUUAUUGCCUGAACGACUGCAGUGGGAGAAGAGGAAAUGACAAAAAGGUAGUUUUAAUUUACACGCACGGUAUACGCGAAGAUGACCUGAAGUUACUUUUAGAACGUCACACUCGAUGCAAUGACCAGGCAUCCUGAUACCGACACGAGCACUUGCGAUAUGGAUUUUAUCAUACCGCAGUAGUCGCAUCGCGAAAGAUCCAAGAAACGUACACUGCCACGUACGACAAAAGUACGCCCGACUUGGUGAUUCUAUACAAGAACCGUAACCCGUGAUGGCACGAAGCACGAGGACUGGCGACGGCGAACGUCACCGUCGUAGACGUCAAUGAAAUUGCACAAGCGUAACAAGAUUUUGCGUAAGAGUCUCACGUACCCUAAUAUAUUCGCAACGUCGAGCCUCCUUUUUUUCACGAGCACCACCUUGCAGUUGCACAAGGUAAGUGUUACUCGUGUUAUAAAAUCACAAUCGAUUAGCAUUCAUUGAGGCUCGACGUCUUCGUUGAGAAACAUGACGGUAUAGAAUUUAUAAGGAUACGAGAGUACAAGUAAUAUAUAAAUGGGGAUAAUGAACAAUUCAUUGAUGGUAAAUUAGGGCGAAGAAAAUUGAACAUUGUAUAACGUAUUAUCGCAAUUAUGUUCAUUAACGAUUAAAUUUGAACAAUUAACUAAUUGAUUAUAUUUCAUGGACUCUACGCGAAUCCCUUUGAUUUUGCAAGAAAAAAAAUUAUUCUUCAUUUCCAGCCCUUUCGACGGACUUCGUUAUUGACUGACGUACGAGUGUACACGCUGGCAAGAAAAACUUCAGCUGUCAUUAGAUGUAUGACGACCGGGAGAGAAAAUACGUUGAAAUACGUGACGAAUAAGGUGGAAGAUUUUACAGGAUCGAUUUUGAGUUACAUGAAUUCUGUAUACGUAUAGCUAUGUACGUACGUAUACGACGAGGAUAUAUGGAUAUUCUAUAAUAUGUAUAUAUUCAUAGGAUAUAUACGUAUGAAAUAAAUUUAUAAGGUUCUGACAGGCUCCUGGCAACUGUUUUCAGAUGUUAAAGUAAAAGACGAGAAAAGAUGGAGUAAGUGAAAUCUUUGUAUGAAUUUGACAAGUGAUUGGGAAAUCGAUUACGUAGAGAUUUGGUAGGGUGAGUUCUUAUGAGAGAACCGAGAGCCAUACAUUUUAGUACAAACUGGAAUCAUAGAUGGCGCUGGCUAGCAAGUCUCGCGCGUGCACAAUAUCUCAGGAUGAAAACCGCAUUAAUUGCCGCUUUGGUCAACGUUCGUCCCGACAGGACGUUCCAUUUGCGGUUCGAAUAAUGCAGAUGCAAUUCGAUGGCGGCGACCAAUUUCUAGACAGGUACUUGGGCAUAAACGAGUUAAUCGAAUGUGAAGCAAUUUAACGGGAGUCCGAUUUAACGAUUUCACGAUAAUUAAUUACCUCUCGGGAAAGUAGGUACCGAGUAAAUGGGAUAGGGAAGGUAUAUACUACUGACGUCGUUACGGGAACUACGUAGAAGCGAGAAACUUCUGACCUUUCGCCACCUCGUUCGCCAUGGAGGUAAACACGGUCGCUCGUGCGAAUUAAUUUCCUCCAACUUUUACCCUCCAUGGAAAAUUAGUUUAUCAUAUCCAAUCCAGACUUCGUGACAAAGUAGUUUCCUAUUUCGUAAAAGUAUAAGAGCCACGAGUGCCAUAAUUUGACGAACAAUUAAUUAUUCUGACAAAUAUUAAUAUUCGCCCGAAAAAAUCGUUCGAUCCUAUGGUCCUACUUGAAAAUUUUUUAUUUCAUAUUUUUUUGGAUUAAUCAAUUUUUUUUUAAGAAUUUCACUCCAACUGAUUUGUAGGAAUCUUUGAAAAAUCUAAACAGUUUUACAUCUGCUGCCGUAUUCGUAGAUUAGCAUAUUCAUGUUGACCUUUGCUCUUGUACGAAACGAAGAUUCCAAUGAUCCUCCUCGUUCUCACAGAAUGACAAGCUCUCGGUUGUCUCUUACGGAAUUUUAAUAAUUUUCGCAAAUGAUGUAAAAAUGAUUAAGAAACUUUCGUGAACCGCUUCGUCCGAAGCUUUCGCGGAAAACGUAAAAUCUCGCUCGCAUUGAUACGAAAAAGAUUUCAAACUGGAUUUUCCAGUCGAAAUUCAAAGAAAUCGAUGGCCAAUUACGACUGCGAGCUCGAUUCGACAAAGAGAAAAAAAGUCCGAGGGGUGAGUACGAGUACGAGUACAGCUAAUAAAGAUUGUUAAACUCCGUAGAGAAAAAAAUUAAAACCCAAUUUCAGUAACGCCUACAGCCAAAUACGAUAUUUCGUAAAGCCCUAGAAAAUAAAAGGCAUUGAAAUUUUUCUUUUAGCUACGACCCCGCCUGAUCGUACCAAAUUGAAAAUCAAUGUCACGUUAACUUCCGGUAGCUGCGCGUGAGCCGUCGUUCACCGGAAAUAACGACUACGUUAAAUAACUACAGUAAGCCGAUACUGUACUACGAAAUCAUUACGUAGAAUCUCAAAAUGACGAAUUCAAAAGACUACGUCAAAAUUCAGCUGUCACCCUGUAUAUUUUACGUCAAAAGUACUCUGGUAUGAUCACUGGAUGCUGGGAUCUGAUGUACCGUAAAUAAAUGAACAACGCCAGGAAUUCUUAACAACAGAAGAUUGACUACGUCAAUAUUCGUGAGACUAAAUAAAAUGACGUAUGCAAAAAGUCAAUACACCCUCAUGCCAAUUGUCGUUAAUGUAAUUUGUCUGAAUAAAGAGCUCGCAGAAUCCCAUUCGAUUUCUCGAAAUAUAUAUAAUCCUAUUAGUCUGAUGAAAUUUCUAUAAUUAACCCGAGUAACGAAUUUCACCCUAACGUUGUAACUAAUUUGAUCGUAUACGUUGAGCAAGGGGGAAUAGACUCUUCUCAUUGGAUGGGUGAAAGAAUUUCGUGAAUUCAAGUGACACUCUCAAAGUGAGCUACGCAAAGUCUACGUUUUCACUGUAGGGCAUAUUCGAGCGGAUAGGCGAACGUCGUAGGUUCUUCGACGAGGACAUUAAUGUUGAGAAGUAAGUA
Molecule: long non-coding RNA, 7313 nt
Organism: Cephus cinctus (wheat stem sawfly)
Lineage: Eukaryota; Metazoa; Arthropoda; Insecta; Hymenoptera; Cephidae
Exons: 3
Source: RefSeq, a predicted model, not a curated record